Molecule: ribosomal RNA, 468 nt
Filed under: uncultured bacterium
Lineage: Bacteria
Description: partial 16S ribosomal RNA
Rfam family: Bacterial small subunit ribosomal RNA
Source: RNAcentral
GGCGAACGCUGGCGGCGUGCUUAACACAUGCAAGUCGAACGGAAAGGCCCUGCUUUUGUGGGGUGCUCGAGUGGCGAACGGGUGAGUAACACGUGAGUAACCUGCCCUUGACUUUGGGAUAACUUCAGGAAACUGGGGCUAAUACCGGAUAGGAGCUCCUGCUGCAUGGUGGGGGUUGGAAAGUUUCGGCGGUUGUGGAUGGACGCGCGGCUUAUCAGCUUGUUGGUGGGGUAGUGGCUUACCAAGGCUUUGACGGGUAGCCGGCCUGAGAGGGUGACCGGCCACAUUGGGACUGAGAUACGGCCCAGACGCCUACGGGAGGCAGCAGUGGGGAAUAUUGCACAAUGGGCGGAAGCCUGAUGCAGAAACGCCGCGUGCGGGAUUACGGCCUUCGGGUUGUAAACCGCUUUCGCCUGUGACGAAGCGUGAGUGACGGUAAUGGGUAAAGAAGCACCGGCUAACUACGUG